GCGUGAGGGAUGACGGCCUUCGGGUUGUAAACCUCUUUCAGUAGGGAAGAAGCGAGAGUGACGGUACCUGCAGAAGAAGCGCCGGCUAACUACGUGCCAGCAGCCGCGGUAAUACGUAGGGCGCAAGCGUUGUCCGGAAUUAUUGGGCGUAAAGAGCUCGUAGGCGGUUUGUCGCGUCUGCUGUGAAAGCCCGGGGCUCAACCCCGGGUCUGCAGUGGGUACGGGCAGACUAGAGUGCAGUAGGGGAGACUGGAAUUCCUGGUGUAGCGGUGAAAUGCGCAGAUAUCAGGAGGAACACCGAUGGCGAAGGCAGGUCUCUGGGCUGUUACUGACGCUGAGGAGCGAAAGCAUGGGGAGCGAACAGGAUUAGAUACCCUGGUAGUCCAUGCCGUAAACGUUGGGCACUAGGUGUGGGGGACAUUCCACGUUUUCCGCGCCGUAGCUAACGCAUUAAGUGCCCCGCCUGGGGAGUACGGCCGCAAGGCUAAAACUCAAAGGAAUUGACGGGGGCCCGCACAAGCGGCGGAGCAUGCGGAUUAAUUCGAUGCAACGCGAAGAACCUUACCAAGGCUUGACAUUCACCGGACCGCCCCAGAGAUGGGGUUUCCCUUCGGGGCUGGUGGACAGGUGGUGCAUGGUUGUCGUCAGCUCGUGUCGUGAGAUGUUGGGUUAAGUCCCGCAACGAGCGCAACCCUCGUUCUAUGUUGCCAGCACGUGAUGGUGGGGACUCAUAGGAGACUGCCGGGGUCAACUCGGAGGAAGGUGGGGAUGACGUCAAAUCAUCAUGCCCCUUAUGUCUUGGGCUUCACGCAUGCUACAAUGGCCGGUACAAAGGGUUGCGAUACUGUGAGGUGGAGCUAAUCCCAAAAAGCCGGUCUCAGUUCGGAUUGAGGUCUGCAACUCGACCUCAUGAAGUCGGAGUCGCUAGUAAUCGCAGAUCAGCAACGCUGCGGUGAAUACGUUCCCGGGCCUUGUACACACCGCCCGUCAAGUCACGAAAGUUGGUAACACCCGAAGCCGGUGGCCUAACCCCUUGUGGGAGGGAGCCGU
This 1050-nucleotide ribosomal RNA is filed under the name bacterium. RNAcentral describes it as "bacterial SSU rRNA". It matches the Rfam family "Bacterial small subunit ribosomal RNA", at positions 399 to 1456 of the family's 1533-position model. The record is from RNAcentral.